This 460-nucleotide ribosomal RNA is filed under the name uncultured bacterium. Its description in RNAcentral is "partial 16S ribosomal RNA". It matches the Rfam family "Bacterial small subunit ribosomal RNA", at positions 338 to 795 of the family's 1533-position model. The record is from RNAcentral.
CCUACGGGUGGCAGCAGUGAGGAAUAUUGGUCAAUGGGCGUAAGCCUGAACCAGCCAAGUCGCGUGAGGGAUGAAGGUUCUAUGGAUCGUAAACCUCUUUUAUAAGGGAAUAAAGUGUGGGACGUGUCCUGUUUUGUAUGUACCUUAUGAAUAAGGAUCGGCUAACUCCGUGCCAGCAGCCGCGGUAAUACGGAGGAUCCGAGCGUUAUCCGGCUUUAUUGGGUUUAAAGGGUGCGUAGGCGGCCUUUUAAGUCAGCGGUGAAAGUCUGUGGCUCAACCAUAGAAUUGCGGUUGACACUGGGAGGCUUGAGUAUGUUUGAGGCAGGCGGAAUGCGUGGUGUAGCGGUGAAAUGCUUAGAUAUCACGCAGAACCCCGAUUGCGAAGGCAGCCUGCCAAGCCAUGACUGACGCUGAUGCACGAAAGCGUGGGGAUCAAACAGGAUUAGAUACCCCGGUAGUC